Molecule: unclassified non-coding RNA, 164 nt
Filed under: Bungarus multicinctus (many-banded krait)
Lineage: Eukaryota; Metazoa; Chordata; Lepidosauria; Squamata; Elapidae
Description: small nucleolar RNA
Source: RNAcentral
CUGACAUUGGUUGCUGCUGCUGGGAUUUCUGAGACUCCUCAAACCUUCAUACAACCUUGGGGGUCUCCCAUCCUAAGAUUAACCAACACCAACCCUGCUAAGCUUCCACAGAGAGACCAGCUACUUAGGUUUCCAUUUGCUUUUAUUUCAUGGCCUGUUUCAGA